UACGAGUGCUCCAAGCGUUAUCCGGAAUCAUUGGGCGUAAAGGGUGUGUAGGCGGUCUUGUUAGUCUUCUGUCAAACCUUCCGGCUUAACCGGAAUCUGCAGAGGAAACGGCAAGACUCGAGGAUGCGAGAGGUGAAUGGAACUCAUAGUGUAGGGGUGAAAUCCGUUGAUAUCAUGGGGAACGCCAAAAGCGAAGGCAGCAAACUGGCACAUAUCUGACGCUGAGACACGAAAGCGUGGGUAGCG
Molecule: ribosomal RNA, 246 nt
Filed under: uncultured bacterium
Lineage: Bacteria
Description: partial 16S ribosomal RNA
Rfam family: Bacterial small subunit ribosomal RNA
Source: RNAcentral